CCAUCUCCAAUUCCACUUCUUGUGUAUCUUUAUCUCCAUCUUCAACUACUCAGUUGCCUUUCCUCCAGAUUUGAUUUGCUGCCUUUCAAUCAUGUGUAAUCUCCUUCUAACUUGCUACGAUUGCUACUUGUUUUAAGUGCUCAUUUGCCCUUUUUUGGCCUAAUGUAAUAAAACUCCAGCUUUUAUCUUCAAAAAUAUCUUCUUGCUAACUCAUUAAUUUAGUGGUUAAAAAUGUUUCUCUUUAAACCCGGGUAGGAGGUGGCUAUGGUGUUCUUGGUGAUCAUAUGGGUGGUUGGCUUUGUGAUUACACGAUUCCGUUGGGCAUUUGUAAUUCGAUGCAACCUGAAUUUCAUGCUCUUGUUCACGGUCUCUCUUUGGCAUGGGAGUUAGGCUAUCGUCGAUUGGUUGUGGAGCUCUAUUCCAAGGCCGUCCUUCAGUUACCAUUUGCCGAGAAGGAUCAUAAUUUGCGAUUUCUGAAUCUGAUUUCUAAGUGUCAUAGUUUUUUCAAGAGACUUUGACAUGUUGUUUUGCAACAUUGCUAUAGAGAAGCUAAUGGGGUUGCUGAGGAGUUGGCUAAUGAACUAGGCAAUCAUAUCCUUGGUUAUUGAUCUAUUGCGUUGGGACUGUCAUCUUCGGUAUGAUCCGUUUGUUUAUUUUGAGCUCUCUCCCUCACCUG
RNAcentral lists this unclassified non-coding RNA (676 nucleotides) under Hevea brasiliensis (rubber tree). Lineage: Eukaryota; Viridiplantae; Streptophyta; Magnoliopsida; Malpighiales; Euphorbiaceae. The record is from RNAcentral.